UUACGAUUGAGUAGCAGGUCCAUCAC
RNAcentral lists this small RNA (26 nucleotides) under Bombyx mori (domestic silkworm). RNAcentral describes it as "ovarian small RNA-9351". The record is from RNAcentral. Lineage: Eukaryota; Metazoa; Arthropoda; Insecta; Lepidoptera; Bombycidae.